This 326-nucleotide ribosomal RNA is filed under the name uncultured eukaryote. RNAcentral's name for it is "partial 18S ribosomal RNA". It matches the Rfam family "Eukaryotic small subunit ribosomal RNA", at positions 1470 to 1796 of the family's 1831-position model. The record is from RNAcentral.
CCCCUAGAUGUUCUGGGCCGCACGCGCGCUACACUGAACAGUUCAACAAGUCUUAACCUUGGCCGAAAGGUCUGGGUAAUCUCCAAAUUUCGUCGUGAUGGGGAUAGAUUAUUGCAAUUAUUAAUCUUCAACGAGGAAUGCCUAGUAAGCGCAAGUCAUCAGCUUGCGUUGAUUACGUCCCUGCCCUUUGUACACACCGCCCGUCGCUCCUACCGAUUGAAUGGUCCGGUGAAGCGUUCGGACCGUGGCCUUUGGACGGUUCGCCGUCUGUUGGCUGCGGGAAGUUCGUUAAACCUUAUCAUUUAGAGGAAGGAGAANUCGUANCA